AAAUCAUGCACGUGAGUGGGUGAGGUUUGAUAAAUCAAGGCGAUGAUAGAAGUAGAGAACAUAGUGAGAUCCAAAGAUAUUAAGCAAACACAAAUAAAAUAUCUGACUAAUAAGUGAAUAACAAUGUCUCUCGGCGACGAAGUUUUGCAUUGCAAAAUCAGGUCUGUGAUUAGAGAAAGAGAGAAGAUGUGUUUCUGUAUCAAGAUGCAAUUAUAAAGAAAAACCUCGUAUGAGGUCAUACUCAACAUCAUCACCAGUUCGACACAAGCAGAGGACACCCUAGUCUGGCUACCAGAGGUCUCAGGGACCUACACUACGAGAUCGGGUUACAGACUAGCAAGCACGGGGGAACAAGCGGGAACACAACACCAAGGAGAUUUCGACUGGCUAAAAAACAUUUGGAAUCAAAAAACGAGCCCUAAACUGCAACAUUUCCUCUGGAAAAUAAUGAACAAAGCCAUCCCAGUAAGCGCAAAUCUUGAACGACGAGGCUUCCCUGCUUUCUGCUGCAAAAGCUGUAAUGGCAUCGAGGAUGAUCUACAUACCUUUCUUUUAUGCCCGUUAGCGGAAGCAGUCUGGAAUUUAGCGCCGUUAGAUAGGAGACCCGACCCCUCCAUCCCCUCAAUAGCUACACUAUUAUCUCUUGGAAAUAAGAGCAUUACACUACCUCCUAUUGGUCUCCACAUCCCGCUGUGGCCUUGGCUACUAUGGCGUAUAUGGAAAGCGCGUAACAAACUAUGUUUUGAUGACAGGUCUUCUACAGCUUUGGAAGUGAUACACAGAGCAAUCAAGGAUGCAAAAGAGUGGCAAGAAGCACAACAGGAAGACGUAACAGGCCAGGAACAGGGCCCAAGCCCCAGAACAUCACCCACUUAUACUCCCCACGGCUACGAAGAUACGUGCCAUGUCGAUGCUGCAUGGAAAAGGGAGACGGGAACCUGCGGUGUGGGAGGAAUCUUCAGAGGACCGAACUGCACUUCACUCCCAACCAUCCGGUAUCAUCGUCGUUAUACAUCAUCAGCCCUUAUAGCUGAAGCCCUUGCGGUGCGUUCUGCAGUCAUGAUGGCUGCGUCGUCGAACAUUCAAUCCCUUACCGUCUUCUCUGAUUCUUCAGUCCUCAUCUCUCUAUUGAAGACAAAGGAAUCAAGACCGGCGCUGUAUGGCAUUAUGUUUGACAUCUAUCACCUUUGUCGUUUAUUUGAUACAAUCUCUUUCUGUUAUGUACCUCGGUUACAAAACACUGAGGCCGACGAAGUGGCAAAGUCGGCUCUCUUAUGUGCUGAUGUACCUCCUAUGGAGUAAAACACCCCUUUUAGUUUUAAUGCAAGUAGUUUGAUCAAAAAAAAAAAAAAAAAAAAAAAAAAAAAAAGAAAAACCUCGUAUAUUUAAAGUAACAGUAGUUAUUUUUUAGAUUGUUGAUAACUGGUGAUCGUGGUCUGGAAAGAAAACGGUCGGCGAAGUGGCAAGAAGAAAUAUUUUUGAUUUUAUGAGAUAAACAUUUAGCUCUCUCGGUUUUGUUUUUAAUUUGUUUUUUUGUUUUUAUUAAUUUUUCUUUUUAAUCUAUGUGGCAAAAUGUUAUUGGUCUACUGACUUGUGUUUUAGUAUAUAGAGGAUUUCGUUAUCUUUGCGGUUUAGUAACACCAAAUAUACCAGUCUAGUUUUAACUUGAAUCGCAAAUAAACUACACUUAAUUUUCACCAUAUAUAUAUAUAUAUAUAUAUAUUAAUCUUUUUAUUGUGUUGUGCCAUGCAUAUUGAAAAAGAAAAACAUUUCUUUGAUGUACA
Molecule: long non-coding RNA, 1784 nt
Filed under: Brassica rapa (field mustard)
Lineage: Eukaryota; Viridiplantae; Streptophyta; Magnoliopsida; Brassicales; Brassicaceae
Description: long non-coding RNA (BRAP_LNC005392)
Source: RNAcentral